AUGAAGAACGCAGCGAAAUGCGAUACCUGGUGUGAAUUGCAGAAUCCCGCGAACCAUCGAGUCUUUGAACGCAAGUUGCGCCCGAGGCCACCCGGCCGAGGGCACGCCUGCCUGGGCGUCACGCCAAAACACGCUCCCACCCCCCCUCACCGGGGGAGCGGGACGCGGCGUCUGGCCCCCCGUGCCGCGAGGCGCGGUGGGCCGAAGAUCGGGCUGCCGGCGUACCGUGCCGGGCACAGCGCGUGGUGGAUCUCUACUCGGCGCAGUGCACCCGGCGCGUAGCCGGCGCAGCGGCCCCUAAGGACCCAACGAACGGAGCGCGAGCCGCUCCGACCGCGACCCCAGGUCAGGCGGGACUACCCGCUGAGUUUAAGCAUAUCAAUAAGCGGAGGA
This 393-nucleotide unclassified non-coding RNA is filed under the name soil metagenome. Its description in RNAcentral is "partial contains 5.8S ribosomal RNA, internal transcribed spacer 2, and large subunit ribosomal RNA". The stretch from base 1 to 121 matches the Rfam family "5.8S ribosomal RNA", at positions 36 to 154 of the family's 154-position model. The record is from RNAcentral.